AAAGUUGUACUCCCAAUUGAUAACUGAGUUGGUGGGAGCAUCUAUCGUAACUACUAUUUACUCAUCAUGCUCGGGCUUGAUAUGGUGAGAGUUAACUAACUAAUGAGUUACUUGGUUGAUCAGAUUAAUAUCUUACAAUAAAAAAUGACCAAUCAUCUAAGGUUGCAUUUCUUACUAAUAUUGUCCUCACUAGCUGUUUAUAACAAGAUAUUCGUUUAUGACCUGAAUGUAUGAAUAUUCAGUGCCUUUAUAUGUUUAUAAAAUAAUACUAUUUGCGCCUUUGUGUCUAUCGCAUUUUUCAAAUAAUAUUUUUUUAUAAAAAUUAUAUUUAAUAUUUUUCGCGCGAAAACAAAUACUAGUAUAUAAUAAGAGAAAAAAAUAUCAUUUUGUGCAUAAGUGCCCCCUAUUUGCUCACAACCCUCUCUCUUCUAGGGUCUGCCGCCGCUGCCGCUCCGGCGAGCUUGGGUGGCCGGUGGACCACCAGUAUCUAAACCACUGUUGUCAUCUUUCUCCCUCGCCUCGUCAUUACAACCACUGACUUUGGCUUCACCGGAAAAUGCUUCCCAGCAUCGCUUACGUGACGAAUCGCAACUAUUGAGGGGUGGAUAUUUUUAGAUUUGGGCGGCCUUACGAAGCACCCUCCUCUUUCCCCACUGUUUCUCCCUCAUCUCACACUUAAGGCGCCGGGAACCACGGCCCCUUACUGGAAUGAGAACUCUAACAGUCAUUAGCUCUCUUGCCUUAUUUUGCAUUUUACUUUCCAGAUCUUCGGGAAAAAAAGAGAUUAAGGCUGAAAACGUUUUGCCGGAAUUUGGUUCAGAUCCAAUCGGGAAAACUCCAUUACCGGCGACCUCGUUUAUCAAGUUCUCUGUAACGUCCUUGCCUUUUUAUUUUACAGGCUAAACCGGAUCUGAGGUUGUUUGUUUUGCCGGAGUUUAUCGGAAUCUGGCCAAUUUUAUAACUUCCGGCAACCCUACUGCCGUAGUACUGUUGACUAUUUCUCCGGUGCACGUCACCGUUGAGUAGCGUCCUCAUAUUUGCGUUGCUCUGUUUUGUUGAUUUUCCUAAUCGUUUGCUAUUGAAUUUCUGUCUGUUUUGCGAUGGGUUCGAACUUGGCCGGCAAUAAUACCCCGUUCGCUUCCAUUUGAUGGUUGUCUCUAUUUGAGCUAAUGUGAAUAAUAAUUUUCUGCUCUUGGGCUCGUUUGGCUGCAUUAGUUUUGUGUAUUAGUAAUAUUUUGUUUGGUAUAUUUUUUGAACUCAUGUAUUAGUUAUGCAAACAUUAGUUAUAUAUCAUAUUUGUUAUUAUUCUAUGUAUAACUAAUGCAUAAGAAAUCAUGAUAUUAACAAUGCAAUGAGUUUUAAUGCAUGUAUGAACUUGUUAAAGACAAAGUUAACCUUUAAAAUUUAUGCUUGAUUAAAAAAUAUUAUUAUAUUAAUACAAAUUUAAAAUAAUCCAAGAAAGUAAUAAAUAAAAUUAUAUCCCUAAUAAAUAAAUAAAUACUUAACAUAUUUUUUAUAAAUAAAUAUUAAAUUUUAUAUUACAAUAUAGGUAGACAAUCAAAUAAUUUUUUAAAAUCUUUUUCAUAUAAAAAUAUUUCUCAAACGUAUGUUUUUUUUUAAAAAAGAUAAAGUGAUGAAUUCGUUAUGAGGGUAUUUUUUUAAACAAAUAAUUUUUUUAGAAGUUGUGCAAUGCUUUAAUAAAUCAAACCAAAUAAUUGAUAAGAAAUAUGUCAUCAUAACUAAUGUCAGCAUAACUAAUAUCAGUAUUACUAAUACACUCUAUUCAGUAUACAAUCUACCAAACUGGCACUUUAAUGGGUAUAGGUUGGUUCUUUGAGAUUUAUCACCUCUUUGAAAUUCCCAUUUUGGCCCAUAUGGAAUAUAGUUCCAUUUUUUGAAGCGAUAAACUUUGGUUUAAUAAUGUAUAUCACUGACUUGCCAAGUUUGGUAUGAUCUACUACUGUAUCUCCGUUUUCCUAUGAGUUGAGGGCCCUUUCCUCUUUACUGUUUUCUCCGUUUAGCAACCACUGCUGUGCAGUCCUGUUCACUGUUGGAGCUCAUUUGAUUGUUUGAGAAAAAAUGUUAUGUUGAUGGACGUAAUUAAUGUUUUUUUUUGUCAUCAAAGAGAUAUUUUUUUUUAUUAAGUAGGUAACGAGAUACAGGGGUUGCAUAGUUUGCACCCUAGUUACGUAGUUGCUAAUACAAGGAUUGUUUGCAGCACCCAAUAUGAGUUCAUUAAAAUCAAAAGUAGUACAUAUUCUAUUAGGGGGAGCGAUUGCCUGUGGUGGAUGCACAGAGGGGGAGGGGGAGUUGUAACGAUAAAGAAUACAGGCAUUGACAAAUCUUUUGUAAGUCGCUCUGGCACAGUCAGCUUGGUAGAUGGUGACAACAGGUGGGGGGCGGCAAAAAGCUCCAAGUUGCUUCCAGUUGGCAUGUGUGCUCCAUAGUUGGCUAAGUUGUCUGCUACAUAAUUUUGCUCCCGGAAUAUGUGCUGGAUGAGAGGAUCAUCGAGUUGUUAGACCAAUGACCUGCAAUCAUCAAGGAGAUUAGUGUACAAGAGGUGAUCCUUUUUAAGGAGAGAUAGUACCUCGUUUGCAUCUACUUCGAUGAGGAGUGGCAGUAGGUCAUAUUGUUUUGCUAGUUGGAGACCUAGCAUAAGUGCAUGCAGUUCAACCUCUAUAAUAGAGGUUGCUAAAAUUUGUUUGGAGAAGCCUAAACUCCAAUUCCCCAUAGAGUUGCAAAAGACACCUCCAAUACCCUGUUUUGAGAUGUAAAGGAGCCAUCUAUAUUUAACUUAUAAUGAUUAUGUGGUGGUGGAUGCCAUUUAACGUGGAGUGGGAAUUUUCGAGGCGAUCAGAGACUGUGUUUGUAAGGAAAUGGUAUUCCGAGGCCUUUGAUAUUACAAGUAGGAGACUAAUCGGUAUGUUUUUAUUUUCAAAAACAUAUUGGUUUCGAGUUAACCAGAUUUGCCAAAGGCAAAAGGAGAAGAAAGUUUUAGGAGGUAUAUAUUUAGGGCAUGCAUCAAAAGGCAGUUUGAGGAAGUGAUAUACCUAGUGGGUUUGAUUGUGGUUGUCGACCAAGAAAUUUUGGAUGGUGGUUGAGAUGUUUAGUUGCGGCCAUAGGUUGUUCGAUUUUGUUGGCCUAAGUGAAGGUUAGUUUUGAAGAUUGACAAAAGAAGCUCAGGCACGAACCAGGUCCAUCUCUUGUGUGCAUAGACACAGGCAGAUUCGAGCAUGUGGGAUGCACGUGAAGGAGAUAAGCUUAACUUGGUCUAAUUAAUAUCUCUUGAUCGAAAAGAGUUGCAUAAUUGAUAAGGAGAAGGACUCAUUAAUCAAAGAGAACACUAUCCAAGAUAAGGGAGGAGUUAGAGGUUGAGAUCAACUAGAACUCUUCCACCAAGGAAGAGUAGCAUUAGAACUCUAGUUAUUUUUUCGUCUACUAACUCUAUAUAUUGCAGAAUGUUCUCACUCUAUAGGUAACACACAAAAGCAGAAGUUAAACGUGAAUUGAGAGCAAAAUAACAAGGUAUUUUGCAAGCAGUUCGUGUGUGAUUCAAGCGUGCGAACCUGAAGCUACAUGAACUAGAUAGAAGAAUCAAUUCCGAGUGUCUGUCUUUUAUUCUAGUUCAAUUGUAGUAGGUGUUUUCAUAGUAUACCUUUCAGCUUUAUCAAGAGGCAAUUGUAAUAGGUACUCAGAGUAUUCAAGUUAGAGUUAACUUGAAGUUGUCGCAACAGUUAGAGGUUGUGUGCCACAACAGGAUUAGAGUUAAUCCUAGAUUUACAAAAGUGUUUUAUAAAUGAAGUUUUUGGCUCAGUGAUUUAGUGAAAAGUUCUGGGAAAUCCUACUGGGAAGUAGGUCGUGGAUAUUUUUUACCUUUUGAGCCAAGUAUUUUUCACGUAAAAAUCCGUGUGUUCUUUAAUUUCUGCAUUUAUUAUUCCACAACAAUAGUAUAAGGAACACAUAGAAGAAUCAGGUCCUUCUAUAAUCAGUUUAAGCGAAAAAUUAGACACCACACAAAUCACCCCCCUUCUUGUGUGGUAUUGAAGUUAAAACAUCAAUUGGUAUCAGAGCGGGUUAUCCUUGAAGAGGCUAACACCUUAGGAAAGGAUCAAGAUGAGUGCACUACCUGAAAACUGUAAAGAGCAAUCCACUACUAGGCCACCACUAUUCAAUGAUCACUACUAUUCUUUGUGGAAGGAGAGGAAAAGAGAUCACUUGCAGAUGGCUGAUGGGUGCUUCAAAUAUGGUAAAAAGAACCACAUGAUCAAGAACUGUCCUAUGUGGGAAGUCGAGUGGAAAAAGAAAAAAUCUAAAAGAAGGAACAGAAAGAAGGAACAGGUUUAUGACAAGAAUAACUACAACAAAAGGUCAUCCAAAGCAAUGGUUGCUACUUGGAAAGAUAGUUAAGAUGAGGACACUGAUGAUAAUGCUGAAUGAAUUCUCAUAGCAAUUCGAGAAUCUGAAGAUGAACCUGAUGAAGAAUCUGAGAUAAGUUUUCUAGACCUUAAGGAUAAAAUUAAACUCCUUUCUAAAGAAAGACUAUCAGAAUUGUUGCUAACUUUAAUUGAUGAAUCUAAGAAUAUAAGUUAUGAAAAAGAACAAUUGUCAAAAAAGUAUAACUUUUUAAAAGCAGAAUGCAAAAACCUGAAAAUAAACAUUUGUAAAACUGAAAAGGAAAGGGUGUGAUUGAUUUAUUUUAAUUUGGAAAGGGUGUGAUUGGAGCAAAAGUAUUCUACUGAAAGGUUUUUCAUCAGCAAGGGUUUAAUUAUCUUGGUUUAAUCAAGUUGCUCAUGGUCUCUUCCAUCUCUUUCCCCGGCGAACUCCUCGUCGACUCUCUUUCUCCGGCAACAUCCACCUUAUUCUAUACAGUACAGGGAUUAUUGUGUUCACUGAACAACAAAUUUGGAGCUUGCUAAAGAAAUUAUAAUUACGGAUAAUUUAUUUUUCAAGACGGGAUUCUUUCUUUGAGAGCUCGGAUUUUGAAGAGGAUUUAAAAUCUUGAUCUUCUUCUUGUUCGUCGUACUUGGAAUUUUGACCUGGUGUACCUGGAAGAUUUCUUCUUUUCUUGGAAGAAGAAUUGGAUAAAUUUUGAUAAAUAAAAGAAACUCUUCAGCCACCAAUUCGAACUAUAUCUUGGAGAUUUAAGUCACAAUUUCUCUUUCCAUUGAUUGAGGAUAGAUUUUUUCUUUGUAUUGUGAGAAUCGCUUUUUCUGCUGUGCAAUUACUAGUGGCUUUCUAUUUUGUGUUCCAUCAAGAAGAUCUAUACAUCUCCACUGUGACGCUACUCUGCUUUUAUUUGUAGUGAAAUUUCGGUGAAAUUGACAAAUCGCCAAAACUCUCCUACUUACGAGUUCGGGAGCAGCAGUAUUCAACAGAUUUGCAUCCGGACAUCCCCGACUGUAAUCCAGGUUCCAUCUUUCUUGAAUUUUAUUUGCGCACAUCUAUUUACUGUUGCCUUGCCGGCAAUUUUGAUUGGAUUGAUUGCUUUUUCUAUCUUUUCUACUAGUGUUUUAAGCUUAAGGUUUCAUAUAUUUAUUUUAAUUUUGUGCUUGCAUAGGGGUAGUUCCGUAUACGUGGUAGUCACUCCUUUGAGUUAUUUCUAGCUCACGGGUUUGUAGCUUGGAGUCCUUCAUUCCCGUUAUUGGUUCUUAGUGGUAGUGUUUACCUAAUACCUUUUGCUUAUAGUGGCGGUAGUGAACGAUGUGAGAGUAAGGUCGUGUUCUAGGGUGGGGCUAGGGGUAGGGUCCAGGGGUAGGAAAGGGGGAUAAGAAAGCCUCUAGGCUGAGAAUUGGGUCUUGGAACAUUGGGACGUUGACGGGGAAGUCUAUAGAGUUAGGUAAUAUUCUUUAGAAAAGGAAGAUUAACAUAGCGUGUGUUCAGGAGACUAGAUGGAAGGGUACUAGGGCACGAGAUAUAGACGGGUUUAAACUAUGGUACUCAGGGAGUGCUGGGGUAAGAAUGGAGUAGGUAUUUUAGUAGAUAGGGACCCUAGGGAGCUCGUAGUUGAGGUUAGGAGGGUAAAUGAUAGGUUGAUGAGUAUUAAGCUGGUAGUUGGUGGGUUUACUGUAAACGUGAUUAGUGCAUACGCUCCUCAUAUAGGUUUGGACCAGGAGGUCAAGAAGCAAUUCUGGGAGGAUUUGGACGAGAUGGUGUGUAGUAUCCGGCAUACAUAGAAGUUGUUCAUUGGUAGAGAUUUCAAUGGUCAUAUUGGGGCUAGUGCUAGGGGUUAUGAUAAUGUGCAUGGCGGGUAUGAUUUUGGGGAUAGGAAUGAGGGAGGUAAUUCACUGUUGGAUUUUGCUAGAGCUUUUGAUUUAGUUAUAGCUAACUAGAGUUUUCCGAAGAAGGAAGAGCACCUGGUCAAUUUCCGGAAUUCAAUGGGCAAGACUCAGAUUGAUUAUUUUCUCUGCAUGAAAUGCGAUAAAAGUUUGUGCACUGACUGCAAGGUCAUCCCAAGUGAGCACCUCACGACUCUACAUAGGCUCCUAGUUAUGGACCUAGGGAUCAAGAGGAGUAGGAGGAAGAGGGCGGGGUGCAGGAAACCUAAGAUCAAGUGGGGUAACUUGACCAAGGACAAAGCUCAGGAGUUAGGGGAGAAGUUGUUGGCUAUGAGGGCCUGGAUGUGUAGGGGGACGCGUCUAGUAUGUGGUUCACGACUGCGGAUUGCAUUAGGGUUGCUGCUAGAGAGGUCUUAGGGGUCACGAAGGGCUCUCCUGGGGGUCAUAUAGGGGACUGGUGGUAGAAUGGAGAGGUUCAAGGUAAAGUGGAAACUAAGAAAGCUGCUUAUUUGAAGCUAGUGGAGAGUACAAGCGAGGAGGAAAAAAGAACUUAUCGGGAGUAUUACAGAAAGGCAAAGAAAGAGGCGAAGUUAGCAGUUACGACGGCUAAGAAUGCAGCGUUUGCUCGUUUGUACGAGGAGCUCGAGGGAAAAGGUGGGGACAAGAGGUUGUACCGGUUGGCCAAAGUGAGGGAGAGAAAAUCCCAUGACUUAGAUCAAGUCAAGUGCAUCAAGGAUAAGGAUGACAAAGUGUUGAUGGACGAGGCACUCAUUAGGAGAAGAUGGCAGACAUACUUCCAUAAACUGUUGAAUGAGGAGGGGGAUAGACGCAUUGUGCUGGGUGAGUUGGAGUACUCCAAGAGUCGGCGGUAUUUUGGGUAUUGUAGGUGGAUUACGGUAGAGGAGGUGGAAGGGGCGAUGCGUAAGAUGUGCAGGGGUAGAGCGACGGGGCCAGAUGAAAUCCCGGUGGAAUUCUGGAAGAGCGCGGGGCGGGCAGGUUUGGAGUGGCUCGCUGGGCUGUUUAAUGUUAUUUUUAAGACAAAAAAGAUUCCCGAAGAAUGGAGGUGGAGUACGAUGGUUUCGCUUUACAAAAACAAGGAUGAUAUCCAAAAUUGCAACAAUUAUAGGGGUAUCAAGUUGUUGAGUCACACUAUGAAGGUUUGGGAGAGGGUGGUGGAGGCCAGGGUGAGGAGGUGCGUGUCUAUUUUUGAGAAUCAGUUUGGAUUCAUGCCGGGGCGUUCGACUACGGAAGUGAUUCAUCUGGUAAGGAGAUUAGUGAAGCAGUACAGGGAAAGGAAGAAGGAUUUGCAUAUGGUGUUUAUUGACCUUGAGAAAGCAUACGAUAAAGUUUCGAAGGAGGUCCUGUGGAGGUGUUUGGAGGUUAGCGGUGCUCCGAUAGCGUACAUUAGGGUGAUUAAGGAUAUGUAUGGUGAUGCUAAGACUCGGGUGAGGACUGUGGGUGGUGACUCAGAGCAUUUCCUUGUGGUGAUAGGGUUGCACCAGGGAUCGGCUCUUAGCCUAUUUUUGUUUGCCUUGGCGAUGGAUGUACUGUCGCAUCACAUCUAAGGGUAGGUGCCUUAGUGCAUGCUAUUUUUCGAUGAUAUAGUGUUGAUUGACGAGACGCGUAGCGGAGUUAACACGAAGUUGGGGGUUUCGAGACAGACCUUGGAGUCUAAAGUUUUCAAACUGAGUAGAACUAAGACAGAAUACUUGGAGUGAAAAUUCAGUGACGGGACCCAUGAUGCAGACGUAGAGGUUAAGCUUGAUGCUCAUGUUAUCCCUAAGAGAGUGAGUUUUAAUUAUCUCGGGUCUAUUAUCUAGGGUAACGGGGACAUUGACGAAGAUAUUGUGCAUCGCAUCGGAGCGGGAUGGAUGAAGUGGAGGCUCGCUUCCGGUGUUUUGUGUGAUAGGAAUGUGCCGCUAAAACUUAAGGGUAAGUUUUAUCGAGUGGUGGUUCGACCGGCUAUGUUGUAUGGGACUGAGUGUUGGCCACUCAAGAACUCCCACGUGCAGAAGAGCAGAGAUGAGAAUGUUGAGCUGGAUGUGUGGGUGUACCAGGAGAGAUAGGAUUAAGAAUGAAGCUAUCCGGGAUAGAGUGGGAGUAGCCUCCGUGGAGGACAAGAUGCGGGAGUCGAGGCUGAGAUGGUUCGGACAUGUUAAGAGAAGAAGCAUUGAUGCUUCUGUCACGAGGUAUAAGAGGUUGGCCAUGGAGAGUUUGAGAAGAGGUCGAGGUAGGCCUAAGAAGUACUAGGGAGAGGUGAUUAGGCAGGACAUGGCGCUGCUUCAGCUCACUGAGGACAUGACCCUUGAUAGAAGAGUGUGGAGGUCGAGGAUUAAGGUAGAAAGUUAGUGGGUAGUUUAUAGUUGUUCACUGAUAGUCUUAGUAGCAUGCAUGUCUCUUUAUAUUCUUAGAUUUUUAUUACGUUAUGUGAUUUUGUUCACCUCAGGUAUUGUAUUUUCCUGUUGCUAUUAUUGGGUACUACUUAUCCUUUAUCUCUCCGUUUUUCUUUUCUAUUCCAUCUUUCUUCCUUCCUUGCUUUCCUCUUCUUCUUCUUGCCCUUCCUGAGCCGAGGGUCUAUUGGAAAUAACCUCUCUACCUGCAUUAGUUAGGGGGAAGGUUUGUGUACAGACUACCCUCCACAGACCACACCUGUUGGGAUCAAACUGGGUUAGUUAUUGUUGUUGUUGUUGUUAAAACUGAAAAGGAAAAUACUGCUCUGAAGAACCAGGUUCAUACACUUGAUACAACUGUCUUAGAACUUAGAUCUGAAAAUAAAGUUAAAGUUAGGGACAGGAAAAGAGAUAGAAAAUGAUAUACAACUCAACCUAGAGGAUGACUUAAGGAAGGUUAAAGAUGAGUUAUACAAAAAGGAAGAAAAUGCAAGAGUUUUGAAAGAGGACUUAACAAAAGUUAAACAUGAGCUUGAUAGAACAUGUAAAUGGUAGAGGUCCACUAAUGCACUUUCAUGGAUAUAAGAACAUCAUAGUAGAAACAGAAAGGGACUUAGCUUUGGGAACUCUGCACCUGAAUGGGAUCCCAAAAAUAAGUGCCUAAAACUCCCUGAGAAUAAAAUUUUCACACACUGUGGAAACACUGGUCACUACAAGAGUGAUUGCACUGUGAAAGAAAAGGCAGAUUAAAAGAACAAAAAAUUUGUUCUAGGAAAAAAUAGGCUGCCAAGUUGGGCUAAAAGGAAUUUGAUCCAUCCUUUUGGCUAUAGAAACGGACCCAAACUAGUUUGGAUUCCUAAGACUAACCCUUGAUUUCCUUUUGCAGGUCCAAGUGAAUGGGAGCAGCCAAAUAUGGUACAUGAAUAGUGGCUACUCAAAGCAUAUGACAGGAAGAAAGAACCAGUUCCUUUCACUUGAGGACCUUAAAGGAGGUAAUAUCUCCUUUGGAAAUAGGAAAAAAUGUGAGAUCAUUGGGGUUGGAAAGGUAGGUAAGACUGAUUCUCACUCUAUUGAGAAUGUCUACUUGAUAGAUGGCCUAAAAUAUAGUCUAAUUAGUGUAUCACAACUGUGUGAUAGAGGUAACUUGGUAGCAUUCACCUCUACCAAAUGUUUUGUGAUUAAUCUUACCACCGAAAAGAUUGUUUUGCAGGGAAAAAGAGUGAACAAUAUAUAUAUUGUAGAUCUGUCUACACUUUCAGAAAAUGAACUCACUUACUUAAGUGUAUUGGACAAUGAUCCCCUCAUUUGGCACAAGAGACUUGUACAUGCAAGUCUAAGUCAACUCAAUAAAUUAGUCUCCAAGGACCUGGUGAUAGGGUUGCCUAACAUCAAGUUCAAGGAAGACAAAAUAUGUGAGUCUUGUGCAAGAGGGAAGCAGGUAACAUCGUUUUUUUAAAUGCAAGAAAGUGGUAAGUACCACCAGAACGAUGGAACUGGUCCAUAUGGAUCUCUGUGGUCCAAUGAGAACAUUAAGCAGAGGUGGUAAAACAUACGUGAUGGUUCUUGUUAAUGAUUACUCUAGGUUUACUUGGAUAUUAUUUCUAACAUCUAAAGAUGAAGCAUUUGAUAUGUUCACUUCUUUUGUUAGAAAAACUCAGAAACAGCUAGGUAAUCAACUUGCAUCAAUUAGGUCCGAUCAUUGCACUGAAUUUGAAAAUACUAAAUUUGCUGAAUUUUGUGAUGAGCAUGCCAUGGAUCAUAAUUUUUCUGCUCCUAGGACUCCACAACAAAAUGGAGUAGUUGAAAGAAAGAAUAGGACACUUGAAGAUAUGGCUAGGACUAUGCUUCUUUAUAGUAAACUGCCUCAUAGCUUCUGGGCAGAAGUUGUAAAUACUGCAUGCUACAUCAUAAAUAGGUGCAUGACUAGACCUCUUAUUGAGAAGACUCCUUAUGAGUUACUUAAAGGGAGAAAACCAAAUAUAUCUUAUCUUAGGGCAUUCAGAUGCAUAGUAAAGACUCCCUAGGCAAGUUUGAUCCCAGAAGUGAUGAGGGAGUAUUCUUGGGAUAUUCUUCACAUAGUAAAGCUUAUAAGGUCUACAACAAAAGAACUAUGCAUGUUGAAGAAAGUGAUCAUGUGGUUUUUGAUGAAACUAAUAUUUUUUCUGAGAGACAGGAACAUGAUGAUUAAGUAAUUGGGCUGGUGAGAAACUCAAAUGAAAUGACAGCCCAAACUGAAGCUGCACUAGAGGAAGGAACAUGUGAUGGAACAGGUUCUUCCACCCAGGGCAACAUGACAGGGGGAACAGAAUAAAGAGGAAAUAAUCCCCAAACAUCAAGGGAACCUAUCCAUGAACAUGUUCCACAACAACAAAAUAUUGAAGGAACAACAAAGGGAAACUAGUUGGUUGUAAAAUCUUACAAGUAUCAAAGUUCUCAUCCCAUUGAGAACAUAAUCACUUAUCCAACCUCUGGAAUCAAAACCAGAUCUUCAUUAAAAAAUCUUUGUGCUUUUGAUGUCUCCUUAUCUCUUAUUGAACCUAACAAUAUUGUUGAGGCUUUGCAGGAUGCAGACUGGGUAAAUGCAAUGCAAGAUGAACUCAACCAAUUUGAAAGGAGUCAAGUUUGGCAUCUGGUACCAAGACCUAAGGACAGAUCAGUAAUUGGCACAAAAUGGGUCUUCAGAAACAAACUCGAUAAAGAUGGAACAGUUACAAGGAGCAAGGCAAGAUUGGUGGUUCAAGGAUAUAGCCAAGAGGAGGGCAUAGAAUAUGAUGAAACCUUUUCUCCAGUCGCAAGGUUGGAAGCAAUAAGACUCCUCAGAGCCUUUGCUGCUUACAUGGAAUUCACCCUUCACCAGAUGGAUGUCAAGAGUACCUUCCUUAAUGGCUAUCUAAAGGAAGAAGUGUUUGUCAAGCAACCUCCGGGGUUUGGAAGCAAGGAAAGUCUUGAUCAUGUGUACAAACUUGACAAUGCACUUUAUGGACUUAAGCAGGCUCCAAGAGCAUGGUAUGAAAGAUUAUCAAAGUUUUUGCUUGAGCAUGACUACAAGAGAGGUAAAAUUGACAAUACUUUAUUCUUGAAAGAAAAAGGUAAAGAUCUCUUGGUAAUUCAGAUAUAUGUUGAUGAUAUUAUCUUUGGAGCAACUACUGAUAAGUUAAGUAAAGAAUUUGCUAAACUAAUGGGGAGUGAAUUUGAAAUGAGCAUGAUGGGUGAGCUUAAUUUCUUUUUAGGCUUACAAAUUAAACAAAAUUCAAAUGGAACUAUGAUUCAUCAGCAGAAGUAUGUAAAAGAGUUGCUUAAAAGGUUUAAAAUGGAAGAUUCCAAAAACAUUGACACUCCUAUUGCAAUAGCUACAAAGUUGGAUAUAGAUGAACCUGGUUCAUCUAUUGAUCAGAAGUUGUAUAGGGGAAUGAUUGGCUCAUUGUUGUAUCUCACUGCUAGUAGACCUGACAUUGUUUUAAGUGUAGUCCUUGGUGCAAGAUUUCAGGCAAAUCCAAAGGAGUCUCACUUGACUGUUGUCAAGAGAAUUUUGAGAUAUCUAAAAGGCACCACUGAUCUCUGUCUAUGGUAUCCAAAAGGUAGUAAUUUUAAUCUAGUGGGACAUAUUGAUGCUGAUUAUGCAGGUUUUCUAGUGGAUAGAAAGAGCACCUCAGAUAUGGCACACUUGCUUAGCUCAUGUCUUGUGUCUUGGGCUACCAAAAAGCAAAAUUCAGUGGCCUUAUCUACUGCUGAAGUUGAGUAUGUUGAUGUUGCUUUAUGAUGUGCUCAAUUGUUGUGGAUCAUACAUCAAUUAAUGGACUUUGGAAUUGAUGUUGUUUGUAUCCCCAUUUUUUGUAAUAACACUAGUGCUAUUAGUAUGACCAAGAACCUGGUUCAUCACAAGAGAACCAAGCACAUAGAUGUUAAGCAUCACUUUUUGAGGGAUAACUAUGAAAAAGGGUUGAUCACUGUGGAAUUUUGCGCUACUGACAAGUAAAUAACUGACAUCUUCACAAAAUCCCUAAGUAGAGAUCACUUUUAAAGGAACAAGUUAGAAUUAGGGAUAAUUAAGAUCACCUAAAAGGACCAGUUCAGAAUUCACAACGAAAAAAAAAUUGUUUUUGGUUAGAAAAUCUGAAAAUGUGUAUAUAAUUAGAUUAAUUUUUGCUCAGACUCAUACUUUCAAUAGUAUACUCUUGUGCCAUGUGUUAAAAUGACUCAUUAAUCUCUAAUGAUAUUAUCUCUAUAUUGGCAAAUUUAGACUUAUACAAAAGAAUUAUCAGUGAAGAACCUGGUUCAUCUAAGAAGGUACCGGUGAAUAGCAAGGUGCGAGCCUUGGUGCAAGAAAGUGGGGCUAAGGAUGCUGAGAUUGAGAGGCUGAAGAAAAGGUUGGCUGGGGUGGAGACUGAGAGAGAUGCUCUCAGAACUGAGCUGGCAAGAGAAAAGGAGAAAAAUGAUGGCAUUCUUCAGGAUAUGCUGAAACUCCUCCAAGCCAAACACCAAGCACCUAGUUCUUCCCAGCCUUAAGCUCCUAGCCUAGUGUAGAUCCUUCAGUGACCUAGUCUGGGAUGUUUCUUUAUUUUGCUCAUGUUUUCAGUAUUUUUAUUUCUUUUUAUGCUUUGUGGAAGAAUCAUAUCAAGUAUCAAUGAAAUUUGCUGGUUUUUGCUCUAACUGUUUGUUUAUAUUUCUUUGAUGGUUAAAAUUCUUAACUUGAUCAAUGAUGAUUAAUCCAUGAUUGCAUUUGAAGUAGCCCCAAUGGCCAUGAGUAAGUUUUAAAAUCUGGUUAUCUCACAUUUGUUAUGCAACUUUUCGAUGAUUCCAAAAGGGGGAAAAAGGUCGUGCUUUGCACUUUGAACAGUGAUGUUUAUAACCUAAUGAACCUGGUCCUUUAUGAUAAGUGGAAAUUGUUCUAAUGUUGUGUUGAUGUUGGGCUAAGUUGAAACAGGUCCUAAGCUUAUGAAAAGCACAGAGUUUGUCAUCAUCAAAAAAGGGGAUUUUGUUGGCCUAAGUGAAGGUUAGUUUUGAAGAUUGACAAAGGAAGCUUAGGCACGAACCAGGUCCAUCCUUUGUGUGCAUAGAUACAGGCAGAAUCGAGCAUGUGGGAUGCACGUGAAGGAGAUAAGCUUAACUUGGUCUAAUUAAUAUCUCUUUAUCAAAAAGAGUUGCAUAAUUNNNNNNNNNNNNNNNNNNNNNNNNNNNNNNNNNNNNNNNNNNNNNNNNNNNNNNNNNNNNNNNNNNNNNNNNNNNNNNNNNNNNNNNNNNNNNNNNNNNNNNNNNNNNNNNNNNNNNNNNNNNNNNNNNNNNNNNNNNNNNNNNNNNNNNNNNNNNNNNNNNNNNNNNNNNNNNNNNNNNNNNNNNNNNNNNNNNNNNNNNNNNNNNNNNNNNNNNNNNNNNNNNNNNNNNNNNNNNNNNNNNNNNNNNNNNNNNNNNNNNNNNNNNNNNNNNNNNNNNNNNNNNNNNNNNNNNNNNNNNNNNNNNNNNNNNNNNNNNNNNNNNNNNNNNNNNNNNNNNNNNNNNNNNNNNNNNNNNNNNNNNNNNNNNNNNNNNNNNNNNNNNNNNNNNNNNNNNNNNNNNNNNNNNNNNNNNNNNNNNNNNNNNNNNNNNNNNNNNNNNNNNNNNNNNNNNNNNNNNNNNNNNNNNNNNNNNNNNNNNNNNNNNNNNNNNNNNNNNNNNNNNNNNNNNNNNNNNNNNNNNNNNNNNNNNNNNNNNNNNNNNNNNNNNNNNNNNNNNNNNNNNNNNNNNNNNNNNNNNNNNNNNNNNNNNNNNNNNNNNNNNNNNNNNNNNNNNNNNNNNNNNNNNNNNNNNNNNNNNNNNNNNNNNNNNNNNNNNNNNNNNNNNNNNNNNNNNNNNNNNNNNNNNNAACUUUAUCAAGAGAAAAUUGUAAUAGGUACUCAGAGAAUUCAAGUUAGAGUUAACUUGAAGUUGUCGCAACAGUUAGAGGUUGGGUGCCACAGCGGGAUUAGAGUUAAUCCUAGGUUUACAAAAAUGUUUUGUAAAUGGAGUUUUUGGCUCAGUGAUUUAGUGAAGAGUUCUGGGAAAAUCCUACUGGGAAGUAGAUCGUGGUUUUUUCACCUUUUGAGCCAGGUGUUUUCCACAUAAAAAUUCUUGUGCUCUUUAAUUUAUGCAUUUAUUAUUCCGCAACAGUAGUAUAAGGAACACAUAGAAGAACCAGGUCCUUCUAUAAUCAGUUUAAGCGAAAAAUUAGACAUCUCACAAAUCACUCCCCCCCCCUCCCCCUCUUGUGUGGUAUUGAAGUUAUAACAUCAGAUUUGUAGCAUUGGAAAAAGAUUUGUUGUGAGAUUUCCAGUGCCAAUCGGCAAAUGGGACAAAGGUGUGAGGUAAUGAUGGAGAGGUUGGCAAGGUAAUUGUUUGUUGGUAGUCGGCCAUGACAGCAUAUCCAAAUAAAAUGUAAUUGUUUUGGUGGAAGCUUGAGUGUCCAAAUCCAUGUAAAGGGGGGUCAGGGUGUAGUGGGGCUAAUUGAUUUGUAACUUGAUUUAACCAAAACUUUUCCCUCAACUGUAAUGGCCCAUAUGAUUUUGUCAAAUCGUAGGGAUGUGUGGGGUAGGUAUAUGCUAUGUAUUUGUUGUGUGAUAUCUUCUGGUAGUUGGAAGGAAGUGGUGUUGAAAUUCCAUCUAGCAUUUGGGAUGUGUUGGGCGACUGUGGAGAGCUCCUCAUUGGGUCGUAGUGGACCAUGGAUAAGAGAUCUAAGAGUGGUAUUAGGCUUAAUCCAAGGAUCAAACUAAAAAUUAAUAUGUUUGUCAUUUGCUAUACGCCAUUUGUAGACUUUUUGACACGUCGUCUAUCUUUUUAAAACAUUUUUUCAAGUAAAGGAGCUUUGUGGACAAAGGCCAUUUUGGCAUUUAUAUUUGGACAGUAGGACCUGCGCCCACAAUUGUAGUGGGUUAUGGAAUAUACGUCAUGUAAGGUUGGCUAAUAAGGCUUGGUUUUUGGUAUCUAGUCUUUGUAUACCCAAACCUCCCGCCAAUAUUGGAUUUGUAGAUGUGUUCCAUUUUAGAAGGUGUAGUUUUCUUUUCUGUGGGGUAGUGUCCCAGAGAAAAUUGCGCUGGUAACGGUUCAAGUGUGAUAUGAUGGUUUUGGGGACGGAGAUGUAUUGCAUAAUGUGGUUAGGAAGAGUGUUUAGAGUGGAACGAAUUAGAGUCAUUCGUCCUGCCAUUGUGAGGUAUUUGGAUUUCCAUCCCUCCAGUCGAGUUUUAAAAUUAUCUAAUAAAAAUUGGAAAUCGGCCUUUGUAGGUAUACUAGUGAAGAUGGGGAAUCUAAGGUAUUUCCCAAAUUUAUGUCCUUCUAACAUAUUAAAAUUGAGCAAAGCAAACUGUUUAUCAUGGGUCACACAGUUUUUGGAGAAGAAAAUUUUUGACUUGGCAAAAUUAAUUGAUUGGCCAGAGAUAGCAGUGCAAUGGUUUAAAGUAUCAACGAUGGUAUGGCAACUCUUCAUCGUUAAUUUGGAGGUGAGAAUGAUGCCGUCGGCAAAGAAAACAUGGGAGAUACUUGGUCCAUUUGUGGAGAGUUUGAUAGGUGAUUGGUAGUCCACAGUUGUAUUGAUUCUACGAGAGAGCAUUUCCAUCGAUAGAAUAAAUAGAUACGGAGAUAAAGGGUCGCCUUGGCGUAUUCCUCAGACUACCAUUAAUAAGGACGGAGAUUGAUGAUGUUGAGACGCAAGACAUGAUAAGUUGAAUAAGAGGUCUAGGAAAAUUCAACUGAGUAAGUGUCUAAUGUAUGAAAGACCAUUCUAGCCUAUCAAACGUGUCACGACCCAAAAUCCAUUAAAGAUCGUGAUGGUGCCGGACACCGCUGCCAGGCAAGCCAAAAAUAAAUACUUAACUUGGUUCUCAUUUUAAUAUUUUUUUGAAAAUCACAUUUCCUUCAAUUAAAUAGUAAAAGAUGGAAUUUACAAAAUAAAUAAUAAUAUUUUUAACAAUUUCAAUACAGGACAACCCAUAACCACCCCAAAACCCGGUGUCACAAGUGCAUAAGCCUCAACUAGGAAUGUAAAAUAAAAUACAAUAUCUGUCCGGAAUACAAAUUCGGACAUGAGAAAUAUAAAUACUCUGAAGGAGACUUUGCUGGCUGCGGACUCGUAACGUGGAAUGCAGCUCACACAAGUCUCCGCAAUAACUGCGCCUAUGCACCCACUAGGCCUCUAGACAUAUAUGCACCUGCACAAAAAUGUACAGCAAGUGUAGUAUGAGUACGUAAAUCAAUGCGUACCCAGCAAGUAUCCCGCCUAACCUCGAAGAAAUAGUGACGAGGGGUCGACUUCAAUACUUACUAUGGGCUAUAAAUAAAACGUUGAUGAUAUAAUUAAGCACGGCUUACAUAGAAUGGCAGUAAGCUCAAUAUCAUGAAAUAAGUAAACAAUUCUUUUGUUCAUAAGAAAUUUCCAAAUUUAUUUUCGUCAUUUAACAUUUUUGGACCUCGGGCCAAUGAAAAUAAUAUCAAUUAUUAUCAAUUCCAAAGAUAUAUCAUGCGCAAAUCAUGUCGAGAUCGUACGGCCCGCUCCAACAUAAAUAUUUAAACUGUGUACUGCCGAGGGUCGAACGGCGCGAAUCAUAGAUGCAUCUAUUUAACCUGCCGAGGCGUUCGGCCCGCUCCACAAAAGAGAAAAUACACAUUAAACAACCAAUUCAAGAUUUAUUAAGGGAAAAAUAUUUCUAAAUUUUAAAUUCUCAUUUAACGGUCAAGUAAAUGAAGUUUAACCUUUUUAAAGUUCCUUUACCAAGUUUCGAUAUGAUUUAAGCAAUUUAAAUUAACAAGUAGGAUGCAAGUAUCGCAAUUAUAACAUGAUUUGGGUCCUAGACUACCCGGACAUAACCAUAUUAGUAGCUACGCACGGACUCUCGUCACCUCGUGCGUACGUAGCCCCCACAAAUAGAAGCACAUAUUGAAUUAUUUCACAUAUGGGGUUAAUUCCCUUUUACAAGGUUAGAAAGAAGACUUACCUCGCUACGAAGUUCCAUAGCCGGCUCCCAAGCCUUUCCAACAACUCAAACCAAUGCCCAUCGCUUCAAAACUAGUCAAUAAAGGUGCAAAUCCAUAAAUAUAUACUCUAACACUCAUAAUAAUUCAAUUUAUAAUAAUUUCCAACUCCGCUCGAAAAAUCGAUAAAGCAACCCUCGGGCCCACGUGCUCGGAUUCCGAAAAUUUUCUAAGAUAAUUAUUACACAUGACCUCACGAACUCAAAUAUAUAAUUCAUUUCCAAUUCCAUCCCCAAAUUCGUGGUCAAAAUCCAAAAUACCGAUUUCUAGGUUGUUCUUCAAAAUCUCAAAUUUCUACAAAUUUUCAUGCUUGAAUCCAUGUAUAAAUCUUGUAUUAAACUCACAAUACGCGGAAAUAACUUACCUUGACAUAGAUGAUAAAAAUCCCUCCUUGAAGCUCUCCAAAAUCGCCCCAACCAAGUGAAAAAUGGGGAAAAAUGAGCCAAGUCCCGUUCUUAAAUCAAUCUGCCUAGCGAUAUUUUUGCACCUACGGAACAGUAGUUGUGCCUGCGGCGUCGCUUCUGCGGCCAUGCCUCCGCUUCUAUGGAACUAACCCCAAACACAAGGCAUCGCACAUGCCGAACGACCCCCGCUUCUGCGACUUCGCAGGUUCGAGCUUCCUUCCGCUCCUGCGCCUUCUUUUGCUUCUGCGCCCCACGCUUCGCUUCUGCGCUUGCGCAGAUGCGGCCAAAACUCCGCACCUGCGAUCCUUCCCUUGGCUGACUUUCUCCGCUUCUACGACCCAUGGGCCACUUUUGCAACCCCGCUCCUACGGCCAAAACCUCGCAGGUGCGGUUACACCAGGUGACAACAGUUUCAAUAUUUCAUAACGGCAAAUUCGAUCCGUUAACCACCCGAAAUCCAUCCGAGGCCCCCAGAACCUUAACCAAUUAUACCAACACAUCCCAAAACACAUUACGAACUUAGUCAAGGCCUCAAAUCACCCCAAACAACUUCGAAACUACGAAUCACCCUCCAAUUCAAACCUAAUGAACUUUGAAGCUUCAAACUUCUACCUUCGAUGCCGAAACCUAUCAAAUCACGUCCGAUUGACCUUAAAUUUUGCACACAAGUCAUAACUGACAUUACGGACCUACUCCAACUUUCGGGAUCGAAAUCCGACCCCGAUAUCAAAAGGUCCACUCCCGGUCAAACGUUUCAAAAACCUUCAAAUUUCUAACUUUCGCCAAUGACCCGAAAUGACCUACGGACCUCCAAAUCCACUUCUGGAUACGCUCCCAAUACGAGAAUCACCAUUCGAAGCUAUUCCCGGACUCAGAAUCCCAAACGGACAUCGGUUGCAUUGAAUUGCACUCCAACCCAAAUUUAUGAAAUCCUUCCAAAAUGCAAACUUCCACAAUAGGUGCCGAAACGCUCCCGGGUCAUCCAAAAACCGAUCCGGACAUACGUCCAAGUCCAAAAUCUUCUAAUCCCUAUUCUGAGGUCAUUUACUCAAAAAUCAAAACUUAGUUAAUUCUUCCAACUUAAAGCUUCCGAAAUUAGAAUUUUCUUUCCAAAUCAAUUCUGAACUUUCCAAAAUCCAAUUCCGACCACGCGCACAAGUCAUAAUACCUGAAGUGAAACUACUCAAGGCCUCAAACCGCUGAACAACGCACUGGAGCUCAAAGCGACCGAUCAGGUCAUUACAUUCUCUCACACUUUAACAUACAUUCGUCCUCAAACGUACUAAGAACUGCUCUGGAGUUGUCCGAAAUCAUUGUUUAAUACCUCAUGAACCUACCCGUGCUACCAUAACCCAGUGGAGCACAUUAGCUCGAACAAACUUAAAAAUCCUCCCUUUUAUCUAGCCAAAUAAGCAUUAGAGCCAAAUUCCAACAUCUGAAAUCCUCUACCAGGUCUGUUUCCAACAUACGAACACUGUAUCCAUCACUACACGAUGCACCAAUACAUGAUUGCAUACCUUUACUGAAUUCAUACCAUGCAUCAUGUAACUCACAUGACCAUAAUAAUAUCCUCUGACAACAAUAGUCGAAAUCCCACGAAUCUGAUGCCCACAUGUACCUCACGAAGCAUAUAAGUCCCAUUUCAACUCUCGCAAUACUGCCACAACAGAAAGGAUGUGAAGAAAUUCAUAACCAACUUUCGAGUCGACAAUUUAUUGAGUCCCUCGUCCUAACAAGGUCCAUUACCCCAUUAUGAACCAAAUAACAAUAUUUGUUUUUUAACAUGCCUCAUAUAAUUUGAUCGUACUGAUUCCAGAUCCAAUAAUCUUGUCUCACCCAGUAUAAGUUGUUCCAUCAAUAAUCCACCACAAACACUACCAAAGAUCUCAUAUGAUGCCACCAUGUGCCAACAAACCACAAACUUGCAUGUGAUACAUAAGGAAAAACAAACUCCGGAAAGAACUACUCAACCCACGUGACUAAUUAAACAACCGAAAAGAUGUUAUGAACCUUUUUCAGAAAAUGAGAAGCAAAACACACAAAAAUAGGUACAGGGAACUGUACUCAACAUCACACUGUUGCAACGUGCAACCCGAUCCACACAUGAUACCGUUACGGCGUGCAAUCCGAUCCAACCAUGAUACCUAUGGCGGCGUGCCACCCGAUCCAAACAACAUACCUGUGGCGGUAUGCCACUCGAUACACGCAUAAUAAUCUAAAGAAAACACACCUCGAGCCGUAACGCUCAUGCUCACGAAACCCCGAAUAUCAACCAUAAGCAUACCAAGUGCAUAAUACAAAUCCUGGGGAGACGGGUAGCGUCAUAUGCUAUAAAACUCAAGCACAACUAAGGUGCAAAAAAUGACCUGCAUCUCGAGAGCCAUCCUGCUCAUAUAACACCACAAACUAUACGGGAUCUCAAUACGAGUGUGAAUAAUCAAACCGCCUCACAACCCACAUGGCACAAUAGAGACUACGCGGAAGGGCCGACAACAUAAAUAACAUCCAAGGCCCGAAAACCCCUCCGAAAAUAGUGUUAUGCUGAAAUGAACACAUCCGGCCUGAUAUAGAGCCCACAUUCAUAUUUAGAUCCAUCCACCGACCUCAAGUCGAUUCUGAUUGUACCGCACUGGGAUAAUAACCUUUCAAGGAUCCACAACACCCUUUUUCCCAUGACAUACAAGAACAACCGUCAAAUCCGGAACAAACUUCCACAAUUCACAACCAACUGAAUAGAGCGCCUUUCAUGCCUAAACUCUCAUAUUAGCGAUAGUACCAAAUCCCCAUACUUGGUUUCAAAUCUUUAAUCAAUCAAGUGACUACAUGUCACACUUAUACAAUCUUCCCGUGGGAUACGCUCCCACGACCUUCCGCACCAGGUAACAAGUCUACACAUUCAUACCACUGGCCACACCAAUGUUGUAAAGCAAAUCAAGAAGCCACAAAUCGGUACACAAAGCCUCUUACACAGGACACCGAUCUCAGGUGAUGCCAAAGAUAAUACCAACUUUCUCUAGACAUCUAAAUUCUUCCUUGAUCAUCCGAGCUCAUGACAUUCUUGUCAACACCGAACUGUAACCUUGAUCCUCAGCUUCCAGUUACCCAUGCCGCUCGCUGCACCUAACAUGCCAAUACAUGAGAGUACCAGAAUUCUAUAAUAACCCCUGAUCCCCUAAUAUAAUAAACACUUCAUCAUUUAGAAACCUUUUACUUAGCUCAUUUCAGAAGAACCAAUGCAACACACAACUAAAUUCCCAAACCGCAGAACAAAUACACCCUCAUGUCGUAAUCUUAACUGCCAUAACUCUCUCGGAAAUCCCUUUACACAAUAAAGCCAUACGAAUCGAAUACCUCCCAAAUCAAACAAGUUGUGGUGGCGCUCAAGCCCAAGUGUACAACCAUAAACCACAUGUAGAAAUUCAUGCUGGAGAAGCUGGUCACUGCCAUAACCGUGCUGAUUCAACCAUUCCCAACCGAGCCACUUUUUCUACUUUACUCGGGACUUGCCCUAGAAAUAAUAUUAACUCCAUUCAAAAUAUCAUGAACCCAAAUCCGAACUCAUCCUGAGUGACCUUAUUUCAUAAGACCACGUUGUCUCCAAAACCCACGAACCAUCUCAUACCCUCCUUAUGCGCAUAUUCGCAUCUUCAACUUGUAUACCCAUUAUGAAAAUCCAUCUAUGAAUCCAAAGUUAUUUUCUCUUAUUCCUCCAAUGCCACACCGCAGACCGAAGAUACCGCAAAACACUCCAAGCCACUUUUCACAAUCCACUGCAAAAGCUCAAUACUUAAACCAUACUACUGGCUCGAAAUUCUUAGGCACCGCACUUUGACUUGUUCCCAAUUAUGAUCAAACUCGAAGGCCCUGCUGGCACAUGAACACCCUCUCAAAGAAGCAACCGGCUGAAUUCCUUUCCUUGUACAUCACAUCUACACGAAGAAUAAACUCUGAGUAUUUCCAAAGCCUGAACAUGAAUCGAUGAGGCCAAUUAUAGCAUACAUUCCUCAAAUCAUUGGCUCAAAUCACCACUGAUAUUCUCUUUCCUUAGUCGUAACAACCCAUUAAUAUGCCGAUAACCAGAAACCUCACAAGUAGACACCCAUGCAAUCCAAUCAUAGGCGGUGGGGCUCUCCCACUUAAGCUUGAAGCUACCAUUAUAUGACCCUGGAACCUACCAGGAUUCCUUCUCCCUUACCGACAUGACCUCGCGCAAUCGACCCGCCAAAUUCCUCCAAAUCCUUAUGUUAACCAUUUCAUGAAUACUCUGAAUCACUAGCCAUAUUUACAUAUUCGACCUCUUACCGGAUAGCCAGUAAAAUUCUUCGUAGAAAAUUCAUCAACACCACACAACAGUUAACCUUGUCGUCGAAAAUAACCCACCUGUGGAAAUUCCAUGUCGACAUCUUCCAACAAUGCUGCACCGGGUACCAUUACUAUGAAAUCCUUAAACCAUCCUGAGCUUGUGCUUAUUCACCAGUUGUACAAGCUCGUUCACUCCUCAUUGACAUCAACUAAGCGUGCGACGAUACAUUCCAAUCCAAAGUCAUGUUGUAUCCUUCUUCAUAUCAAGCAACUCCUCUCCGUCGUGUCCAACCUUCCUCCGUAUAGUAGCCAAUAUUCCAAAUUAAGCCCGUAGACCCGGUCACUAUCCACCAUGAAUUCCAAAUCACUCUUAACUUUCCUCAAGGCAUGUAUCUAUCGUACCACAGAACCCAUAUGCUACUCUGCAACUCUCCCACUUUGGUCAAACCCUCUCCUUUAAGCAACUAUCCGACUUCCGUUUCUCAUACUUGGCCUUCUAGAAAUUUAACCACCGCAAGACACCUCCCACAUGUUCUUCCUCAUCCUUCCCUGUCCAGUUGAUGCCUUAAAUCAAAAUCUAUUUCUGUAACACUUGAACCAAUAGAUCGCUGCCAACUUUAAACCUUUCCGAAGAUCCUCUUUCUCGAUCCAUCAACACUAGAAACACCGAUUCGAUUCUGAAAUCGCUACACCCUGUUAUUAGUGACAAUCGCCUCUCCAACACCAUUUCACAAUGCCCCGCCCCGAAGGCGAAUUGAUGAAGACCAUAACAUCGGCGAACUUAACACAUUCAAUUCAGGGCGACGACACCACAUCACAGAUAAAUAUUCCACCAUGCNNNNNNNNNNNNNNNNNNNNNNNNNNNNNNNNNNNNNNNNNNNNNNNNNNNNNNNNNNNNNNNNNNNNNNNNNNNNNNNNNNNNNNNNNNNNNNNNNNNNNNNNNNNNNNNNNNNNNNNNNNNNNNNNNNNNNNNNNNNNNNNNNNNNNNNNNNNNNNNNNNNNNNNNNNNNNNNNNNNNNNNNNNNNNNNNNNNNNNNNNNNNNNNNNNNNNNNNNNNNNNNNNNNNNNNNNNNNNNNNNNNNNNNNNNNNNNNNNNNNNAUUCAUAGUCUGAUUGUCAUUCCUUCACCGAAAACAAAAUACUGGAUCUCUGAAUCAUGCAUUGAGUAAACCUCUUUCCAUGUCAUUCACUGCUUCGACGCAUAAACGAGCAUCCUACCAUUACACAAACACGAUGCGAUAGCAACGCAUGAAUCGUUAUAACAAUAAAUGCCAAGCCUGUAUACCAUUAAAAUUCCUUGAUUCCCAAUUUAUAACAAGCGUUUCAUGUUGCAUAAGACUGAAUAGGAUGUGAUGGCGCCGGACACCGCUAUCAGGCAAGCCAAAAAUAAAUACUUAACUUGGUUCUCAUUUUAAUAUUUUUUUGAAAAUCACAUUUCCUUCAAUUAAAUAGUAAAAGAUGAAAUUUAAAAAAUAAAUAAUAAUAUUUUUAACAAUCUCAAUACAGGACAACCCAUAACCACCCCAAAACCCGGUGUCAUAAGUGCAUAAGCCUCAACUAGGAAUGUAAAAUAAAAUACAACAUCUGUCCGGAAUACAAAUUCGGACAGGAGAAAUAUAAAUACUCUGAAGGAGACUUUGCUGGUUGUGGACUCGUAACAUGGAAUGCGGCUCACCCAAGUCUCUGCAAUAACCGCGCCUAUGCGCCCACUAGGCCUCUAGACAUAUAUGCACCUGCACAAAAAUGUAUAGCAAGUGUAGUACGAGUACGUAAAUCAAUGCGUACCCAGUAAGUAUCCCGCCUAACCUCGAAGAAAUAGUGACGAGGGGUCGACGUCGACACUUACUAUGGGCUAUAAAUAAAACGUUGAUGAUAUAAUUAAGCACGGCUUACGUAGAAUGGCAAUAAGCUCAAUAUCAUGAAAUAAGUAAACAAUUCUUUUGUUCAUAUGAAAUUUCCAAAUUUAUUUUCGUCAUUUAACAUUUUUGGACCUCGGGCCAAUGAAAACAAUAUCAAUUAUUAUCAAUUCCAAAGAUAUAUCAUGCGCAAAUCAUGUCGAGAUCGUACGGCCCUCUCCAACAUAAAUAUUUAAACUUUGUACUGCCGAGGGUCGAAUGGCACGAAUCAUAGAUGCAUCUAUUUAACCUGCUGAGGCGUUCGGCCCGCUCCACAAAAGAGAAAAUACACAUUAAACAACCAAUUCAAGAUUUAUUAAGGGAAAAAUAUUCCUAAAUAUUAAAUUCUCAUUUAACGGUCAAGUAAAUAAAGUUUAACCUUUUUAAAGUUCCUUUACCAAGUUUCGAUAUGAUUUAAGCAAUUUAAAUUAACAAGUAGGAUGCAAGCAUCGCAGUUAUAACAUGAUCUGGGUCCUAGACUACCCGGACAUAAACAUAUUUGUAGCUACGCACUGACUCUCAUCACCUCGUGCGUACGUAUCCCCCACAAAUAGAAGCACAUAUUGAAUUAUUUCACCUAUGGGGCUAAUUCCUCCUUACAAGGUUACAAAGGAGACUUACCUUGCUCCGAAGUUCCAUAGCCGACUCCCAAGCCUUUCCAAUAACUCAAACCAAUGCAUAUCGCUCCAAAUCUAAUCAAUAAAGGUGCAAAUUCACAAAACAUAUACUCUAAUAAUCAUAAUAAUUCAAUUUAUAACAAUUUCCUACUCCGCUCGAAAAAUCGAUAAAGUAACCCUCGGGCCGACGUGCCCGAAUUCCAAAUAUUUUUGAAGAUAACUAUUAUCCAUGACCUCACAAACUCAAAUAUAUAAUUCUUUUACAAUUCCAUGCAAAUAUUCAUGGUCAAAAUCCAAAAAUACCCAUUUCUAGGUUGUUCUUCAAAAUCCCAAAUUUCUACAAAUGUUCAUGCUUGAAUCCAUGUAUAAAUCUUAUAUUUAACUCACAGUACGCAGAAAUCACUUACCUUGACAUAGAUGAUGAAAAUCCCUCCUUGAAGCUCUCCAAAAUUGCCCCAAUCAAGUGAAAAAUGGGGGAAAACUGAGCCAAGUCCCGCUCUUAAAUCAAUCUGCCUAGCGAUAUUUUUGCACCUGCGGAACAGUAGCCGUGCCUGCGGCGUCGCUUCUGCGACCACGCCUCCGCUUCUACGAAACUAACCCCAAGCACAAGGCAUCGCACCUGCAGAACGACCCCCGCUUCUGCGACUUCACAGAUGCGAGCUUUAUUCCGCUCCUGCGCCUUCUUCCGCUUCUGCGCCCCACGCUUCACUUCUACGCUUGCGCAGAUGCGGCUAAAACUACGUACCUGCGGUCCUUGCCCUGGCUGACUUGCUCCGCUUCUGCAACCCAUGGGCGACUUCUGCAGCCCCACACCUGCAGCCAAAACCUCGCAGGUGCGGUUACACCAGGUGACAGCAGCUUCAGCAUUUCAUAAGGCCAAAUUCGAUCCGUUCACCACCCGAAAUCCACCCGAGGCCCCCGACACCUUAACCAAUUAUACCAACACAUCCCAAAACACAUUACGAACUUAGUAGAGGCCUCAAAUCACGCCAAACAACAUCGAAACUACGAAUCACCCUCCAAUUCAAACCUAAUAAACUUUGAAGCUUCAAACUUCUACAUUCGAUGCUGAAACCUAUCAAAUCACGUCCGAUUGAACUCAGAUUUUGUACACAAGUCAUAACUGACAUUACAGACCUAUUCCAACUUUCAAGAUCGGAAUCUGACCGCGAUAUCAUAAAGUCCACUCCCGGUCAAACUCCCCAAAAACCUUUAAAUUUCUAACUUUCGCUAAAUGACCCCGAAAUGACCUACGGACCUCUAAAUCCACUUCCGAAUGCGCACCCAAUACCAAAAUUACCAUACGGAACUAUUCCCAGACUCAGAACCCCAAACAGACAUCGAUAGCAUUGAAAUGCACUCCAACCUAAAUUUAUAAAAUUCUUCCAAAAUGCCAAGUUCCACAAUAGGCGCUGAAACGCUCUCAGGUCAUCCAAAACCCGAUCCGGAUAUUCGCCCAAGUCCAAAAUCAUCAUAUGAACAUGUGGAACCUUACAAUCCCAAUUCUGAGGUCGUUUACUCUAAAAUCAAACUUAGUCAAUUCUUUCAACUUUAAGCUUCCGAAAAUUGAAUUUUCUUUCCAAAUCAAUUUCGAACUUCCCGAAAUUCAAUUCUGACCACGUGCACAAGUCAUAAUACCUGAAGUAAAGCUACUCAAGGCUUCAAACUACCGAAUGACGUGCUGGAGCUCAGAACGACCGAUCGGGUCAUUACAAAAUGCCUUUUCCAGGUCGAGUUUCAUAAGCAUGUGAGGAAUUUUCCCUUUCAUGCGCUGAAAUGUAUUAAUAAUUUCUUGGACCAUAAUAGCAUUAUUUGUCGCGCACCUAUUUUGUUGA
This 26690-nucleotide long non-coding RNA is filed under the name Nicotiana tabacum (common tobacco). Its description in RNAcentral is "long non-coding RNA (NTAB_LNC018714)". The record is from RNAcentral. Lineage: Eukaryota; Viridiplantae; Streptophyta; Magnoliopsida; Solanales; Solanaceae.